This is a long non-coding RNA of Gasterosteus aculeatus aculeatus (three-spined stickleback), 1258 nucleotides long. Lineage: Eukaryota; Metazoa; Chordata; Actinopteri; Perciformes; Gasterosteidae. The record is from Ensembl.
AGGGAUUGCAGAAGGUACAGCGCAUCCCGCUGGCUACAGACUGAGAGACCCUCGGGGACCCGAAGCUCCCGCGUGGCGCCCAAGCAAAUGGUUUUUGCGGGAUAAAGCGACCAAGACCGGGAUGCAGCAGCCCGGCUGGGUGUCCACACUGUGCAGAGCGUCCAGCCCACGUGAUGCUGAGCAGGAGAUGUUCUCGCUUGCCUGCAUUGCACGCCAUCAUUUGUGAGUAUAACACCUCAUGCUUCCCCUCAACCUGCAAGAAAAGGAAGAUCUCGGUCAAAAUAAACCAGUGCCACGUGGUGGUGAAAUCCCUCCAGUCAAAUGAUUCCUGCCGUCCAUCCUUUUUGCGACCAACAAACAAACAGAGGAGUUGAGUCGGCCUUCUGCUGAGCGAGCACUCUGCAGCGCGGCGCAGCGCGGCGGCUAUUAGCCACCCGCUGGGAUCAGCUAUCGAAUGGAGCACUUUAUUAACAUCAGUAUCACUUUGAGGGUACUGGAAUUAUUACUGACUUCAUCUUUUCUCAACCCACACCCACCCCUAAGCCUAAGUGCUAAACCUAUCGGAGAGGAUAGAUGUUAAUGGCUCCAACCGACCCCGCUGUCCCUAAUAUGUCCGGCUGGCUCCCAGGUGACGUCACAAAACCCUCCUUUGAAAUCUAUGAGCGGUCUUUCAUCAGCUUCAGGUGGGAAGGCAAGGGGGGGCUCAAGGAGACAGUAAUUAACUUAUAUUGAAUCUCACGUGAACCUGCACUGCAAAAAACUACCGAAAGUCUGGAUCGAAUGCAUUUAAGCCCUAUUGAAAUAAAGGAUGAGAUGAUUAUAUUUAACUUAAUAAGCAAGAAGAACACAUCAAGAUGAUGAAGAGUGGGUCUUUUAACAAAAUAAAGUGUACUUAUUGUGUAUUUGGUGGUUUGAUAAUGCAACCUUGCGUUUUUUUUAGUUACAUUCAUGUCGCCACUUUAGAUUUGGUUGUUUGACAUUUUGUGAAGGAGAAUGAAAGAGAAGACAGGACAAAGAAAAGGAACAAGGCGAUCACAUUAAUAUUUCAUCUUCACAGCAGAGUAUUUUUGAGGUGUUGUGUUUCGCCCAUUGUUUAAUAAGAACACAUGCUGCGACAUCACAUUACAGUAUAUCUCUGUAUAUACUGUAUAUAUCUGUCUCUAUAUCUGUAGAGUUUCAUAAAUGUUCGGGGCCAUAUUUAAUAUUUGUCCAUUUAAAUUGAACCGAUUAUCAUUUACUGGUUUAUAAUGUCAACUUG